GCGCCUGUAGUAUAAUGGUCAUUAUACCUGCCUUCCAAAUUCCCCACCUCCCGUACUUGGGGAGCAGAUUUGAUAGCAGGUGACAGGGGUUCGAUUCCCCUCGGGCGCA
RNAcentral lists this transfer RNA (109 nucleotides) under Sporisorium scitamineum. RNAcentral describes it as "transfer RNA-Gly(TCC)". It matches the Rfam family "tRNA". From Rfam's summary of the family: Transfer RNA (tRNA) molecules are approximately 80 nucleotides in length. The record is from RNAcentral. Lineage: Eukaryota; Fungi; Basidiomycota; Ustilaginomycetes; Ustilaginales; Ustilaginaceae.